AACGAACGCUGGCGGCAGGCCUAACACAUGCAAGUCGAGCGAGGACUUCGGUCCUAGCGGCGGACGGGUGAGUAACGCGUUGUAACGUGCCCUUUGCUUCGGAAUAGCCCUGGGAAACUGGGAGUAAUACCGGAUGAGCCCUUUGGGGGAAAGAUUUAUCGGCGAAGGAUCGGCCCGCGUUGGAUUAGGUAGUUGGUGGGGUAAUGGCCUACCAAGCCGACGAUCCAUAGCUGGUUUGAGAGGAUGAUCAGCCACACUGGGACUGAGACACGGCCCAGACUCCUACGGGAGGCAGCAGUGGGGAAUCUUAGACAAUGGGGGAAACUCUGAUCUAGCCAUGCCGCGUGAGCGAUGAAGGCCUUAGGGUUGUAAAGCUCUUUCAGCUGGGAAGAUAAUGACGGUACCAGCAGAAGAAGCCCCGGCUAACUCCGUG
Molecule: ribosomal RNA, 433 nt
Filed under: uncultured bacterium
Lineage: Bacteria
Description: partial 16S ribosomal RNA
Rfam family: Bacterial small subunit ribosomal RNA
Source: RNAcentral